CUUCAUCAAGUUUUGGGCAUGGCCAAAGCAGUGUAAGGAGCUUGCGUAACUGUGUGUCGAUACCAACGGCAAUAUCAGAUGUCUCGUUUGUCAUUGAUAGUAAAGAAACACCAGACACCAAAACGAAUUCAGAAGCUAUGACACGUUUACAGUAAUUUUAAGUCAAACAACAUUGGAUUCACGAACUCGGCAAAAAGACAAGGAGUUGUUUAUGGAAUCUGUUGCUGAUUCAUAAUUUAUUGGUACCGUUUCAAUACUGAUUCUAUUGCGUUUUGAUAAACAACUAUUGUGUUUAGAAUUUUCGUCGGAUUAUGACUAAUACGGUUUUCAUCAGCUGCAUAUUAUUCCUUUAGAACUAUUUUCUUGGAACAUCCUUGAGAGUGUCAUCUUUAGUUAUGAAAAGAGAGGUAAUUUGAAAAGGAAGAAGUAGGCACGAAUUUUAUCGAACUUUCAAGGGACGACAAGUUCUCCCAAAUAGCAUGUGCACAUGUAACAAAUGAAUUUACUCAUUGUGUCGGCUGCUACGCACGAAUACUUGAAUUAUUAUUCCAUUUUAAAAUAUAAUGAUAACAAGGAAAGCCGACAUACUCAAACUGGCGGCUACAUUUAAAAUUAUGCAAUAACGAAAGCAUUGCUAACAUGUGCUUCCAACAAAGUAUGGCAUAAUUCAACCUGUUCAAAUGUUUGUGCUUUUGAGUUUUGGGAUGUUUCGCUCUUUCAACAUAUGCAUAAAACGUUUCCAUUUAUUGAUAACAUGUAUUCCAGACAUUUACUUGUGUACGCUAAUUGACAACGGAAUUUAUGUGUUUCAUAUAUAUAAAUAUUCAUGCUACUGUACUUUAUGCGGUUCUGUUUAAAAGACUAACUUUAAAUUAUUGUUCCGAUUAAUGAUGUCACCCUUAAGAGCCACUGUAUCAGUUUUCCGCUCUACCCAUUAUUACUCACUUUUAACAAUUACAUAGUCAUGACCGCUUAAGUGCAACUAUCGUAUACACAUUGUUCAUUGUAUAAUGAGAUUAA
Molecule: long non-coding RNA, 1020 nt
Organism: Dreissena polymorpha
Lineage: Eukaryota; Metazoa; Mollusca; Bivalvia; Myida; Dreissenidae
Exons: 3
Source: RefSeq, a predicted model, not a curated record